RNAcentral lists this ribosomal RNA (301 nucleotides) under uncultured bacterium. Its description in RNAcentral is "partial 16S ribosomal RNA". It matches the Rfam family "Bacterial small subunit ribosomal RNA", at positions 509 to 808 of the family's 1533-position model. The record is from RNAcentral.
CAGUCGCCGCGGGAAUACGUAGGUCCCGAGCGUCGUCCGGAUUUAUUGGGCGUAAAGCGAGCGCAGGCGGUUAGAUAAGUCUGAAGUUAAAGGCUGUGGCUUAACCAUAGUACGCUUUGGAAACUGUUUAACUUGAGUGUAAGAGGGGAGAGUGGAAUUCCAUGUGUAGCGGUGAAAUGCGUAGAUAUAUGGAGGAACACCGGUGGCGAAAGCGGCUCUCUGGCUUGUAACUGACGCUGAGGCUCGAAAGCGUGGGGCGCAAACAGGAUUAGAUACCCCGGUAGUCCCUGUCUCUUAUACC